UUCAUCUUAGAGUAGUACAAUUUAGUAAUUAUAUCUCAUCCAACUUAUUCCUAUUACAUAUUUAUGUAUUAUCUCAUUCUUUUAAGAGUCAAUAAAAUUGACAUAUAUCACUCAUUAUAAAUUACACAAUUUCCAUCAAGUUUUUCUGAAUUUAAUAUAUUUAAUUUAUAAAUUUUUACAUUCUUAGAUUCUAAUAUAAAUCAACAAUAAAAGUAAGUCUUCUUAUGUUUUUUAAAAUUCAAUAAGCUUUGAUUCAUAAAAUACUAAAUAAAUAAUUUAAAACAUAGUAAUUCUAAUGUAUUUAGUUUGAUGGAUCCUACA
RNAcentral lists this long non-coding RNA (321 nucleotides) under Physcomitrium patens. RNAcentral describes it as "long non-coding RNA (PPAT_LNC004160)". The record is from RNAcentral. Lineage: Eukaryota; Viridiplantae; Streptophyta; Bryopsida; Funariales; Funariaceae.